Molecule: ribosomal RNA, 253 nt
Filed under: uncultured bacterium
Lineage: Bacteria
Description: partial 16S ribosomal RNA
Rfam family: Bacterial small subunit ribosomal RNA
Source: RNAcentral
UACAGAGGGGGCAAGCGUUGUUCGGAAUUACUGGGCGUAAAGGGCGCGUAGGCGGCCUUCUAAGUCGAACGUGAAAUCCCCGGGCUCAACCCGGGAACUGCGUCCGAUACUGGAAGGCUUGAAUCCGGGAGAGGGAUGCGGAAUUCCAGGUGUAGCGGUGAAAUGCGUAGAUAUCGGGAGGAACACCAGUGGCGAAGGCGGGCACCUGGGCUAACACUGACGCUGAUGCGCGAAAGCUAGGGGAGCAAACAGG